RNAcentral lists this ribosomal RNA (789 nucleotides) under uncultured bacterium. Its description in RNAcentral is "bacterial SSU rRNA". It matches the Rfam family "Bacterial small subunit ribosomal RNA", at positions 8 to 798 of the family's 1533-position model. The record is from RNAcentral.
AGAGUUUGAUCAUGGCUCAGGACGAACGCUGGCGGCGUGCUUAACACAUGCAAGUCGAACGGAAAGGCCCCUUCGGGGGUACUCGAGUGGCGAACGGGUGAGUAACACGUGGGUGAUCUGCCCUGCACUUUGGGAUAAGCCUGGGAAACUGGGUCUAAUACCGAAUAGGACCGCAUGCUUCAUGGUGUGUGGUGGAAAGCUUUUGCGGUGUGGGAUGGGCCCGCGGCCUAUCAGCUUGUUGGUGGGGUAAUGGCCUACCAAGGCGACGACGGGUAGCCGGCCUGAGAGGGUGUCCGGCCACACUGGGACUGAGAUACGGCCCAGACUCCUACGGGAGGCAGCAGUGGGGAAUAUUGCACAAUGGGCGCAAGCCUGAUGCAGCGACGCCGCGUGGGGGAUGACGGCCUUCGGGUUGUAAACCUCUUUCAGUAUCGGCGAAGCUCCAGGAUUUUUCUUGGGGUGACGGUAGGUACAGAAGAAGCACCGGCCAACUACGUGCCAGCAGCCGCGGUAAUACGUAGGGUGCGAGCGUUGUCCGGAAUUACUGGGCGUAAAGAGCUCGUAGGUGGUUUGUCACGUUGUCUGUGAAAACUCACAGCUUAACUGUGGGCGUGCGGGCGAUACGGGCAGACUGGAGUACUGUAGAGGAGACUGGAAUUCCUGGUGUAGCGGUGGAAUGCGCAGAUAUCAGGAGGAACACCGGUGGCGAAGGCGGGUCUCCGGGCAGUAACUGACGCUGAGGAGCGAAAGCGUGGGGAGCGAACAGGAUUAGAUACCCUGGUAGUCCAA